UCGUCUCUCAAAACACUCUCAGACUCACCGAAACCAUAAUCACCUCCUACCUUAUUUCACCAUGUUGCCACUGGAAUCCAUGGCGUAGCAGGCCGUGGAUGACCUGUGCUCACCCUUUCUCACUAUAGACCUAAGUUGUUCGAUGAUUUGAAGCCAGAAAAUGAUGGUUCUUUUUCAGAUCCUUUUCAGGUCUGUAGAUCCAUGGCUUCUCCGGUCAUUUUUUGGCAUGUUCAAGCAAAAUUAGUCUUUUCGACUCAGGAUCUAACUUUCCACAAGACCUUUCUCAUUUAUACGAUUUUCUCUGCAACUCUAAACCAUCAGAGGUUCUGUACUGGCCUAUCUUUCUGAGAUCUGUGAUAUGUCUGGACUUUAUUUGACAUAUUAAAAUAUUUCCCCAAAUUUCUUUUUUUUCAAAAUCUCUCAAUCCAAAUUUUAGGGUUUCUGAAAAGUUUCUUCAAAUGUCUUUCCGAUUCUUUCUGCUCUUUCUUCAUGUGUGUUUACCAAUGUUAUGCUCGUAUGCUUUCUUUUCUACUAUGCUUGAGUUUUCUCUCUUGUUUCCUUUAUGUAAUAUUCUUCUAUUUUGUUGUUAUUUCUGCACUCGCAUGUUAAUAUGUAUUGUUUUCCUCAUUCUUUGAUAUAUGUGUUUAUGGUUGAGUUCUUUGAUUUUUUUGAGAUUGCUGAACUCUGUUUUUGUUCCUGCUAAGCAUAUUUUCUCUAUUUUUGUUUAAAACUCGUAUCAUCUCUUUCUUCUGAACUUGUUUAACUCCGAGUUUCUCAAAUAUGUUCUCAUGAACUUGAAUUUCUUUCCUAUCAUGUAUGUUUGUUUCUUGUAAAGUCUUUGGAAGAGACUUCUGAGCCUCUUUCAAUGACCUGUUUGCUCACCCCUAUGUCUAACUCAAUUCGAAACCCUAGGAUUUGGGGGGGGGGGGGUUUCGUUGUCAAGUGGUAUUAGGGUUCUACUUUGGUACCUAGGCUUUCAGACUCACUAUGAGUCUGUAACUUCUCUUGAAUCCCAUUUGCUCGGGACUCUAAGGCUUUUAAUGUUAGAUUGUUAUUGUAACCUGAUAAUUCCUUCUAUUUGAUUGGCAUGCUUUAUAUGUGAGAAAUUUCUCUUUCAAAAGGUUUAUUUACCAACCAAGUGAUUGAUCCUAAAAUCCCUUUAAUAAGGAUGAUGAAUUGUCACUUAUUUUCCUUCGAUUGAACCUCUUUUAUCUUUCUUGACUUGGUUCAUUCAAAUUAAACUUAUAAUUUUUGUUUCAUGGCUGUUUGAUUGAUUCCCUUGGCAUAUUUGGCACAAACCGUGUACUGUUGAUUGUUUUCCUUAAAUAAGUUCUAUGUAUUUACGCCUUUUCUGCUACUUUGAAAGGUUUUAAUUAAAACAAAUUUCCUUAACUGGCUUUUACAUGUUGGAAUCAGAAUCCCUUAACCAAAGGGAGACUAAUUUCAAUGAUAUUUCCUUGCCUUUCUUACAUAUUUGUUUGCAGUAUAAAAGGACUGCCCUUCUGCAGUUUUAAGACACGACUUCAUCUCCACACUACCAGUCCUUAACUUCCAAUACAGUACUUGCACACUUGCAAUACUGUUUUGAAUGCUCUGCUUACUUGAGAUCUUUUUGAGCUACUUUGCUCGCAACUUGGCCUUUCAAGACUAUUGUUUUACUUGUUUGUUUUCCCCUGAAACUGGUAUGUUCUGAUUUAACUUUUCUGCCUCACCCCUAUGUGCUUAUUUACAGUUUUCUACAAUCUUGUUUCCUUUACUGCUCGUUUUCAAUGAUUUAUGCUAAUUAUGUUCUUUCCUUGCAUCUGUUUCUAUUAUGAUUCCCUACCCCAUAUGCCCUUCUAUGUGUUUGAUUUAAGGCUCAUGGCCUGGCAGUAUUAAUAUUGCUACGAAGGCAGAACCUGAUCCACCAUGGAUCCUAACUCCUAAGACUUGGCAAAUAGGCUAGUCAGGGGUGUGCUAACACUCCCAAUUGCUUAGUAUAACCACCAGCCUGCCAUGGCUCUCCCUAAUUUUGUCUAUGCACUUACACUUAUUUUUAGAUUCUUAAGUUCUUCCCCCCUCGUAUGAGCCUUGCUUUGGGACCUUGAGUUCCCUCUGAACUUGGACAUCUGAGGGUUGGCCCUUCCACACGGCACUAUGGUCUUAAUUUUGCAAAGUGUUUAUGGUGUAAGCACAACCUGGAGUACCUUUGAGACUCUUGGGAACUUUGAGACAUCGCAAAUAUGAGACAAGCUUUUGGAAAUCUGAUCCUAGAAGCUGGUUUAUCUCAUAUUAUCGGACUUUGAGUCUGAUUUAGGCUGUUUGGUUGUAGCUGGAAUUUCUGAUGUAUUUUUUACUUCUUUUUUGAUUCAUUUGGCUCUGUAAUAAUUUUUAAUAACUUUUGG
Molecule: long non-coding RNA, 2384 nt
Filed under: Nicotiana benthamiana
Lineage: Eukaryota; Viridiplantae; Streptophyta; Magnoliopsida; Solanales; Solanaceae
Description: long non-coding RNA (NBEN_LNC027557)
Source: RNAcentral